This 498-nucleotide ribosomal RNA is filed under the name uncultured bacterium. Its description in RNAcentral is "partial 16S ribosomal RNA". It matches the Rfam family "Bacterial small subunit ribosomal RNA", at positions 30 to 523 of the family's 1533-position model. The record is from RNAcentral.
AUUGAACGCUGGCGGCAUGCCUUACACAUGCAAGUCGAACGGUAACAGGUCUUCGGACGCUGACGAGUGGCGAUCGGGUGAGAAAUACAUCGGAACGUGCCCAGUCGUGGGGGAUAACUACUCGAAAGAGUAGCAAAUACCGCAUACGAUCUGAGGAUGACAGCGUGGGACCUUCGGGCCUCGCGCGAUUGGAGCGGCGGAUGGCAGGUUAGGUAGGUGGUGGGAUAAAAGCUUACCAAGCCGACGAUCGGUAGCCGGUCUGAGAGGACGACCAGCCACACUGGGACUGAGACACGGCCCAGACUCCUACGGGAGGCAGCAGUGGGGAAUGUUGGACAAUGGGCGAAAGCCUGAUCCAGCAAUGCCGCGUGCAGGAUGAAGGCCUUCGGGUUGUAAACUGCUUUUGUACGGAACGAAAAAGCUUCUCCUAAUACGAGAGGCCCAUGACGGUACCGUAAGAAUAAGCACCGGCUAACUACGUGCCAGCCGCCGCGGUAA